RNAcentral lists this transfer RNA (75 nucleotides) under Coleofasciculaceae cyanobacterium SM2_3_26. RNAcentral's name for it is "tRNA-Asp". It matches the Rfam family "tRNA". Rfam says of the family: Transfer RNA (tRNA) molecules are approximately 80 nucleotides in length. The record is from RNAcentral. Lineage: Bacteria; Bacillati; Cyanobacteriota; Cyanophyceae; Coleofasciculales; Coleofasciculaceae.
GGGGGUGUAGCUUAGUCCGAUCAAAGCAGUCGCCUGUCGAGCGAAAGAUCGUGGGUUUAAAUCCCAUCAUCCCCG